Molecule: ribosomal RNA, 497 nt
Filed under: uncultured bacterium
Lineage: Bacteria
Description: partial 16S ribosomal RNA
Rfam family: Bacterial small subunit ribosomal RNA
Source: RNAcentral
GAUGAACGCUGGCGGCGUGCCUAAUACAUGCAAGUCGAGCGAAAAGACGAUGAGCUUGCUCCCCUGACGUUACCGGCGGACGGGUGAGUAACACAUGGAUAACCUACCUAUAAGACUGGUAUAACUUCGGGAAACCGGAGCUAAUACCAGAUAAUAUAUUGAACCACAUGGUUCAAUAGUGAAAGACGGUUUUGCUGUCACUUACUAUUGUAUCCGCGCCGCAUUAGCUAGUUGGUAAGGUAACGGCUUACCAAGGCGACGAUGCGUAGCCGACAUGAGAGGGUGAUCGGCCACACUGGAACUGAGACACGGUCCAGACUCCUACGGGAGGCAGCAGUAGGGAAUCUUCCGCAAUGGGCGAAAGCCUGACGGAGCAACGCCGCGUGAGUGAUGAAGGUCUUCGGAUCGUAAAACUCUGUUAUUAGGGAAGAACAAAUGUGUAAGUAACUAUGCACGUCUUGACGGUACCUAAUCAGAAAGCCACGGCUAACUACGUG